GGCCACUUGGUCUAGUAGUAUGAUUCCUGUUUUGGGUACAGGAGGUCGCGAGUUCAAUUCUCGCAGCGGCCC
RNAcentral lists this transfer RNA (72 nucleotides) under Rhizoctonia solani AG-1 IA. RNAcentral describes it as "tRNA-Pro (TGG) (tRNA-Pro-TGG-2-1)". It matches the Rfam family "tRNA". Rfam says of the family: Transfer RNA (tRNA) molecules are approximately 80 nucleotides in length. Lineage: Eukaryota; Fungi; Basidiomycota; Agaricomycetes; Cantharellales; Ceratobasidiaceae. The record is from RNAcentral.